GACGAACGCUGGCGGCGUGCCUAAUACAUGCAAGUUGAGCGCUGAAGGUUGGUACUUGUACCAACUGGAUGAGCAGCGAACGGGUGAGUAACGCGUGGGGAAUCUGCCUUUGAGCGGGGGACAACAUUUGGAAACGAAUGCUAAUACCGCAUAAAAACUUUAAACACAAGUUUUAAGUUUGAAAGAUGCAAUUGCAUCACUCAAAGAUGAUCCCGCGUUGUAUUAGCUAGUUGGUGAGGUAAAGGCUCACCAAGGCGAUGAUACAUAGCCGACCUGAGAGGGUGAUCGGCCACAUUGGGACGGAGAAACGGCCCAAACUCCUACGGGAGGCAGCAGUAGGGAAUCUUCGGCAAUGGACGAAAGUCUGACCGAGCAACGCCGCGUGAGUGAAGAAGGUUUUCGGGUCGUAAAACUCGGUUGGUAGAGAAGAACGUUGGUGAGAGUGGAAAGCUCAUCAAGUGACGGUAACUACCCAGAAAGGGACGGCUAACUACGUG
This 497-nucleotide ribosomal RNA is filed under the name uncultured bacterium. Its description in RNAcentral is "partial 16S ribosomal RNA". It matches the Rfam family "Bacterial small subunit ribosomal RNA", at positions 28 to 507 of the family's 1533-position model. The record is from RNAcentral.